This 454-nucleotide ribosomal RNA is filed under the name uncultured bacterium. RNAcentral describes it as "bacterial SSU rRNA". It matches the Rfam family "Bacterial small subunit ribosomal RNA", at positions 29 to 524 of the family's 1533-position model. The record is from RNAcentral.
AACGAACGCUGGCGGCAUGCCUAACACAUGCAAGUCGAACGGGAUCCUAGCUUGCUAGGUGAGAGUGGCGGACGGGUGAGUAACACGUGGGAAUCUGCCUUUUGGUUCGGGAUAACCGCGGGAAACUGCGGCUAAUACCGAAUGCCCUCGAGAGAGGAAAGAUUUAUCGCCAGAAGAGGAGCCCGCGUCCGAUUAGGUAGUUGGUGGGGUAAAGGCCUACCAAGCCGACGAUCGGUAGCUGGUCUGAGAGGAUGAUCAGCCACACUGGGACUGAGAUACGGCCCAGACUCCUACGGGAGGCAGCAGUGGGAAUAUUGGACAAUGGGGCAACCCUGAUCCAGCAAUGCCGCGUGAGUGAUGAAGGCCUUAGGGUUGUAAAGCUCUUUUGCCAGGAAGAUGAUGACUGUACCUGGAGAAUAAGCCCCGGCUAACUCGUGCCAGCAGCCGCGGUAAU